Molecule: long non-coding RNA, 516 nt
Filed under: Brassica napus (rape)
Lineage: Eukaryota; Viridiplantae; Streptophyta; Magnoliopsida; Brassicales; Brassicaceae
Description: long non-coding RNA (BNAP_LNC025746)
Source: RNAcentral
AAACUAAAAUCUAGAAAAAAAUAUAUAUACAAUCAAACUUUUUAUGUACCAUAAACAUAUAUAACACUAACUAAUGCAUUUAUAUAUAAAAUGGGGCCCUAAAUAUUAACUAAAAAUUAUGGGGCCUAAGGCCAUUUCCUUUUUCAACAAGGGGUAAAAGCACGACUCUGGAUUAGUCCAACGGUAAUCCUAAGCACAUUUUUUACCACACUACCCUCUACAUAAAGUCUCAUUUAUACAACCAUAAAUACUUUUAAUCGCAGGUCAAGCACGCUAACGAAUCCCAAACCAACGAAUUAAGGACCUGCGAAAUACUUGCUCAGAUGCAACGUUCGGUCUCACUCCUUUACGUUACAUACAUUUGGUAGGCCAUUCAACAGAGACGGUUUUAAUCUAAUAUUCUAUACAUGAUACAACACCUGCUGCUUUGAUUGAUGUUUACGUAACGAUACAAUUUCUCACAGUAAGCCGUUACUCCAUAGCACCAUUACUUUUCACCUCAUCUCUCAAACACAA